GCUGGGUGUGGUGGCUCAUACCUAUAAUCCUAGCAACUUGGGAGGCUGAGGCAGGAGGACUGCAGGUCUAAUGCCCAUUUGAGUAACUUAGUGAGACCCUAUCUCAA
RNAcentral lists this small RNA (107 nucleotides) under Marmota monax (woodchuck). Lineage: Eukaryota; Metazoa; Chordata; Mammalia; Rodentia; Sciuridae. The record is from RNAcentral.